AUACGUAGGUGACAAGCGUUAUCCGGAUUUACUGGGCGUAAAGGGCGUGUAGGCGGUCUUGCAAGUCAGAAGUGAAAUUCCUGAGCUCAACUCGGGCGCUGCUUCUGAAACUGCAGGACUUGAGUGCUGGAGGGGAUAGCGGAAUUCCUAGUGGAGCGGUAAAAUGCGCAGAUAUUAGGAAGAACACCGGUGGCGAAGGCGGCUAUCUGGACAGUAACUGACGCUGAGGCGCGAAAGCGUGGGGAGCAAACAGGAUUAGAUACCCUGGUAGUCCACGCGGUAAACGAUGAAUGCUAGGUGUUGCGGGUAUCGACCCCUGCAGUGCCGGAGUCAACACAAUAAGCAUUCCGCCUGGGGAGUACGGCCGCAAGGUUGAAACUCAAAUGAAUUGACGGGG
RNAcentral lists this ribosomal RNA (397 nucleotides) under uncultured bacterium. RNAcentral's name for it is "partial 16S ribosomal RNA". It matches the Rfam family "Bacterial small subunit ribosomal RNA", at positions 523 to 918 of the family's 1533-position model. The record is from RNAcentral.